RNAcentral lists this ribosomal RNA (465 nucleotides) under uncultured Klebsiella sp. Its description in RNAcentral is "bacterial SSU rRNA". It matches the Rfam family "Bacterial small subunit ribosomal RNA", at positions 338 to 795 of the family's 1533-position model. Lineage: Bacteria; Pseudomonadati; Pseudomonadota; Gammaproteobacteria; Enterobacterales; Enterobacteriaceae. The record is from RNAcentral.
CCUACGGGAGGCUGCAGUGGGGAAUAUUGCACAAUGGGCGCAAGCCUGAUGCAGCCAUGCCGCGUGUGUGAAGAAGGCCUUCGGGUUGUAAAGCACUUUCAGCGGGGAGGAAGGCGUUAAGGUUAAUAACCUUGGCGAUUGACGUUACCCGCAGAAGAAGCACCGGCUAACUCCGUGCCAGCAGCCGCGGUAAUACGGAGGGUGCAAGCGUUAAUCGGAAUUACUGGGCGUAAGGCGCACGCAGGCGGUCUGUCAAGUCGGAUGUGAAAUCCCCGGGCUCAACCUGGGAACUGCAUUCGAAACUGGCAGGCUAGAGUCUUGUAGAGGGGGGUAGAAUUCCAGGUGUAGCGGUGAAAUGCGUAGAGAUCUGGAGGAAUACCGGUGGCGAAGGCGGCCCCCUGGACAAAGACUGACGCUCAGGUGCGAAAGCGUGGGGAGCAAACAGGAUUAGAUACCCGUGUAGUC